AGUAAACUAACUCAGUAUUAAUUUUUAACUUAGCCUGUCAUACAUCAGUGUCUGCUGCUUUUGGAGAAUUCCCCCUUUGAUGUUUGUUUGUUUGUUUGUUUGUUUGUUUUCUUCUUUUUUUUAAUACAUACUGUUCAUUGAAGCUUCAAUUACCAAAUGCUUAAAUUUAGCAUUUUGAAAUAAAUGUUUUUAACUAUAGAUAAAUUCAUUACAUGUAUCAAUCUAAACAAGUGGAUUUCAAUUAUGGUCCUAAGGGAUGUCAUUAAGAACAAACUGUUUUUAUGAGACUUUAUAUUUUAAACUUUUGAAGGUCAGAGAUGCUGAAAGAGCAACUCCAGUAAAAGAGGAGCGUAGAGAGCAGAGGUGAUGAAAUCCCCCGGCCUGUGGAUUAUUUGACCAAGAUGCCACCUGACCUUACAUCCUCUGGCAGAUCCUGAUGGGAGUCGUUACAAAGAGGACUAUAUGGCUUUAUGGUGACUUUCACUUACAUGCAAGGUUUUCAGAGACGUUUUCAGCAAGCCCAAGUUCAGAGAAAAGGUCCCCUUUGUAUGUCCAAACAGUGUUGCGAACUGGAGUGCAUUUUCCAGACAAUAUGGGCAAGAGCUCCGGGUGCCUUACUCGUUGACUUUGAAAUAUACAAGGACUGCCCACCUGGAUAUGUAGGUGAUGGCAGAAGGGGAGUCCUGAAUGGGUUUUAUUCCGACAAGGAGGUUCAGGGCUAUUGCUCAUUUGAUUGUUUUUUCAAUGAUGGAGGGGAACUUCAGGCUGUGUAGAUUGUGUGUGUACGGUUAAUGUACGUGAUUAUCUGUAUGUGUGUAUUAUGUCUUUUAAACAAUUAUUUUUGUUUUGAAAUAAAAGUUAUCACUGGUA
Molecule: non-coding RNA, 870 nt
Organism: Paramisgurnus dabryanus
Lineage: Eukaryota; Metazoa; Chordata; Actinopteri; Cypriniformes; Cobitidae
Source: RefSeq, a predicted model, not a curated record